GGGACUUGGAGGGUUGCAGCGCCGGGGGAAGUUGGGAACAAAGCUAGGGGGCUGGGAGCUACAGGGAGACGCACUACAAGAAACCAAAAGCAGAAAGUGCCUUUGUCUCCCUUGCUGCCCAAACUUGCGGAAAUCCGGGUGGUCCUGUCUCACCCGCCGCCCACCUGGGCCUGAUCGGCCACGCUGGGACGAUGCCCUCACCGCGCAACCAGCCGAGAGGGAAACAGGUCGGACCUGGGCAGCGCCCGAGGGAAAGCCUGGGUAGCCAGCGGCCAGCAUUUAAAGGCCCCGCCUCCUCAAAGGAAAGGCUGCUGACUCCUUUAAUUGAGACCUGACUCCGGUUUUAACCUGUCAGCCCUGGACCUAAGGAAAGCAGGCAAAAGUAAUGGUGAGAAGUCAGAAGAGGACUGCAAUCAAAGUGCUACUUCGGGAUGAUGGAAUUAAGCAUUUCAACAAAUCUUCCAGUAGCGAUGCUCACUUUAAAUAGAGGGGAAAGUGGGGCAGUGAACAAGAGGUAUGCAUAACUAAACAUACAUGCACUCUGGUUAACCAUUAUCUCAGUUCUAGUCCUGUAAAAUGGCCCUAGAUAAGUCCUUAUUGCUUGGUAGGACAAUCAGGUCACUUUAGGGUCCUGACAGGCAGACACUUUUUAGGAGGUCUGGAACAAGACAUUGUAAAAGUUGACAAUUUAUUGUGCCUUCAUCCUUGAGUGGAAAUGAAAGAAUUGUUGCCACUUUUAGAUAUUCUCUGGUAUUAGCAUACUUACCUGUAGCUGACCUCAAGUAAAGGAGCCAGAUACAAAGUGAAGGGAAUGGUGCCAGGCUUCCCUCCUGCUUCCAGCUUCCUUGUGAGCCAAGAGAGGAAUAAGUACUUUUUAGUAGAAACUUUUAGGUACCUGUUAUAACUUUAUGAAAUUAUUUAUUUUAAUAUCUAGGAUCGGAAAGAUUUGAGCCAUCUGAGAAAUUUUAUGUCAAGAGUAUAGGUCAAAUAUCUUGGCCUAUUUAGUAACAGCUUAGAUUUUAGAGUCAACAGAUCUAUUUUUUGUUGGGUUUCGUGUUUUGUUUUAUUUUCUGUCUCCAUUUACUAGACAGCUUUGGAACCUUUUGUAGUGCCAUAUUGGAUUUGGGCCUGACUGCUUUGCAACUGCAUGGCCACAGUUAAGAAGUCAUGGGAUUGUUGGACAGAGGCCUCUCCCAUGUAUUUACGGCACAGGAAGAAAAGACCAAGUAGUAAACACCCGAUAUCUCCACUGCAUGACCUCUGCUGAGCCCGGCUGAUGCACGUGGAACUGACACACCUGGACCACACCUGGGUGGUGGUCAAUUUACUUCUGCCUUUUACUUCCUCAGCCUUUAUCCUUGAGAUUUAGGCUGGUCUUCUGGGAUUUCUCCCUAAUUAAUUCAGAUCUUGAAGUCAGUCUUUUGUUAACUGAAGUCACGAGCCAGGUAGUCACGAGCCAGGGUUUCCCACUGUGCUUCCCAGAUAUCACCUGGGGAACUUGGGUAUAUAAGUGGUGAAUAAAGCUACAGGAGUCUCUCUCUCUCUCUCUCUCCUGGCUUGACACGAAUAACCUGUGUGUGUGUGUUUCUUUCAUCCCGUAGGCUUUCGCCCGAUUCUCGGUACCAGGUCGGUGCUGGCGCCGACAACCUUUAUUCACCUUAGUUUCCUUAUAUAAGAAAAGA
This 1682-nucleotide long non-coding RNA is filed under the name Rattus norvegicus (Norway rat). RNAcentral's name for it is "long non-coding RNA NONRATT033384". Lineage: Eukaryota; Metazoa; Chordata; Mammalia; Rodentia; Muridae. The record is from RNAcentral.